CCGAUCCAACUCACCAACCCAAACACUGAGUCUCAAGCUCAACAUAAGCGAGUCACAAGUAAAAUAAAAUGUAAUAGGCUAUUUUUGCCCAGGCCCAGAUAAAAACCAAACAGAAAAAAUAAAUAAAAAUAUUAAAAGUCCAGUCCAGUUACAAUACCAGCCCAAAUAGCCUAAAUUAAAAAACCCUAAGACCCAAUUAUAGCCCAACGACGUAAACUUUUUUCUCAGAAAGAAACCCUAAUACCUAAUUUCCGCUCCUAGCCUCUGCCACCAUCAACCACUCCUCUGCCACCGUCGCCUACAAGAAAAAGAAAAAAAC
Molecule: long non-coding RNA, 319 nt
Filed under: Gossypium raimondii (Peruvian cotton)
Lineage: Eukaryota; Viridiplantae; Streptophyta; Magnoliopsida; Malvales; Malvaceae
Description: long non-coding RNA (GRAI_LNC000172)
Source: RNAcentral